UACAGAGGGUGCGAGCGUUAAUCGGAAUUACUGGGCGUAAAGCGUGCGUAGACGGUUGCGUAAGUCAGAUGUGAAAGCCCCGGGCUUAACCUGGGAAUGGCGUUUGGGACUGGAAGGCUGGAGUACGGCAGAGGGAGGUGGAAUUCCACGUGUAGCAGUGAAAUGCGUAGAGAUGUGGAGGAACACCGAUGGCGAAGGCAGCCUCCUGGGCCAGUACUGACGCUCAUGCACGAAAGCGUGGGGAGCGAACAGG
Molecule: ribosomal RNA, 253 nt
Filed under: uncultured bacterium
Lineage: Bacteria
Description: partial 16S ribosomal RNA
Rfam family: Bacterial small subunit ribosomal RNA
Source: RNAcentral